UACAGAGGGGGCAAGCGUUGUUCGGAAUUACUGGGCGUAAAGGGCGCGUAGGCGGCCUGCUAAGUCGAACGUGAAAUCCCCGGGCUCAACCCGGGAACUGCGUCCGAUACUGACAGGCUCGAAUCCGGGAGAGGGAUGUGGAAUUCCAGGUGUAGCGGUGAAAUGCGUAGAUAUCUGGAGGAACACCGGUGGCGAAGGCGGCAUCCUGGACCGGCAUUGACGCUGAGGAGCGAAAGCCAGGGGAGCAAACGGG
RNAcentral lists this ribosomal RNA (253 nucleotides) under uncultured bacterium. RNAcentral's name for it is "partial 16S ribosomal RNA". It matches the Rfam family "Bacterial small subunit ribosomal RNA", at positions 524 to 776 of the family's 1533-position model. The record is from RNAcentral.